Molecule: long non-coding RNA, 143 nt
Organism: Telopea speciosissima
Lineage: Eukaryota; Viridiplantae; Streptophyta; Magnoliopsida; Proteales; Proteaceae
Exons: 3
Source: RefSeq, a predicted model, not a curated record
AUCAUAUUUGAGGGAAAUGUUUGAGAGGUAGAGAGAUAUCGCCAAACGGGUUUCAGAUUUCAAUCCAGAAAACCUGUCUUCUGGAAAACGGCAUUCCAGACACGGCAAAGAUCCCUCCCUUUAAGCUACCGCCCCACCCCUUC